Molecule: long non-coding RNA, 1401 nt
Organism: Stegostoma tigrinum
Lineage: Eukaryota; Metazoa; Chordata; Chondrichthyes; Orectolobiformes; Stegostomatidae
Exons: 4
Source: RefSeq, a predicted model, not a curated record
GGCAGGAGAAUGGGGUUGAAAAAAAAUCCAUUAUCAAAUGGUGGAGCAGAUUCGAUGGGCCAAAUGGCCUAAUUCUCCUCCUAUGUCUUAUGGUCUCCAGGACAUUUAUAAAAGGUCUAUUGUCUUUGGGAGGUCAGCCUGACUAAGGUUUUGAAACAUACAUCGGUGACAUUCAAGUGACAAAUACAAGAUUUCCAACAUCGAGGGGCAAGUUAGGAAUUAAAAAUCAUUCUCUUUGCAUAAUCUGUGAAUCCAAUUCUGAUUAAGCAGUCAGAAGCAACACAGCAGAUUCAUACACUGUCUAAUCAAAAGACUCUGUGUACAUUUUUUUUGAGAAGAAAUAUGUAUGAGUUGCGAAAUACUGCCAGAGAUUGGUAUCUCUUCAGAAUUACCUGUUAACAAUGGACAAGUCAGGAAUCAGAUGAAAUACUCUCCACUUUCGGGAUGAAUGCAGUUGCAUCAACACUCAAGAACCUCAACACCAAUCAGGAGAAAGUAACUUUCAUUGGCCAACCCUUUGUCUGUUCUACUGCAGUUUCUUUUCAAACGUGACACUUAAAUUGUCAACAGCAAAAGUGACAGACUUUGUGUCUGAAAGUUUCAAGUGUGUAGCAUGCAUUAGAGCAAAUUUGUUACAUAAAUAGAUACCAAUCAGGUUGCCUCAAUAGUACUUCUCAAUGUACUCAACAUUGCACCACAAGAUAUUGGCAUUCAGGGUGUUCAAAGUUCUUGGCUCUGUUGUUUUCACUCUAGCAUCAACCUUAUUGAAAUGAAAAGGUUAAAACUUCUUCCACUAGACCUGCAAGAUGAGAUGUGAAUAAGGGCAUUAAUUUUUUUGUAAAUUGACCUCUCAUGGCUCAAUUCCACUUUUUAUGGAAAUGAACAAACGAUUCAUCAAACAUUAUCUCACAAUAUGAAUCUAAAACUGCCUCAUUUCAGAGGGAGUCCUAUUUCCCAGUAUUUUAAUUACCAUUGAUUUACUUCUUUGAUAAUUAACAUAUUUCGAAAUGGAGGAGCACAUGUUAGUUACAUACAGAUGCGCCUGGUUUAUCAUACUAUCUCGUGUUAUGAAUAUGGCUGCUGCCUUGAAGAUUCUUAUUAUGACUAUGACUCCAAUUCCAAAAAAAAUGCAGAGAGAAAAAGUCCAGCCUCAACAAGUUUGUCUUUGAACAUUCUGUUAGUUGAUGCUUUCAAAAAAUUAUAUGGAGCCCUCAUUAUAAUGCACCAACCAAUCAAAACUGAGGGGAGUUAUUGAUUUUGAUCUCCACUGAGUCCAAAAACAUCCACAGAAGCUUUGCUUUUAUGUAAAUAUUUUUAAUCAUUCUGUUCAGAUGUUUUUUGAUGCAACUCUAAAGCAUGCUCACUUUAAUACACUGAGAGAAAAUUCACAGCUUUUCGUAA